Molecule: ribosomal RNA, 253 nt
Filed under: uncultured bacterium
Lineage: Bacteria
Description: partial 16S ribosomal RNA
Rfam family: Bacterial small subunit ribosomal RNA
Source: RNAcentral
UACGAAGGGGGCUAGCGUUGCUCGGAAUCACUGGGCGUAAAGGGCGCGUAGGCGGCCAUUUAAGUCGGGGGUGAAAGCCUGUGGCUCAACCACAGAAUUGCCUUCGAUACUGGAUGGCUUGAGACCGGAAGAGGUAAGUGGAACUGCGAGUGUAGAGGUGAAAUUCGUAGAUAUUCGCAAGAACACCAGUGGCGAAGGCGGCUUGCUGGGCCUCACCUGACGCUGAGGAGCGAAAGCGUGGGGAGCGAACAGG